RNAcentral lists this ribosomal RNA (398 nucleotides) under uncultured Pseudomonas sp. RNAcentral's name for it is "bacterial SSU rRNA". It matches the Rfam family "Bacterial small subunit ribosomal RNA", at positions 984 to 1382 of the family's 1533-position model. Lineage: Bacteria; Pseudomonadati; Pseudomonadota; Gammaproteobacteria; Pseudomonadales; Pseudomonadaceae. The record is from RNAcentral.
ACAUGCAGAGAACUUUCCAGAGAUGGAUUGGUGCCUUCGGGAACGUCUGACACAGGUGCUGCAUGGCUGUCGUCAGCUCGUGUCGUGAGAUGUUGGGUUAAGUCCGUAACGAGCGCAACCCUUGUCCUUAGUUACCAGCACGUUAUGGUGGGCACUCUAAGGAGACUGCCGGUGCAAACCGGAGGAAGGUGGGGAUGACGUCAAGUCAUCGUGGCCCUUACGGCCUGGGCUACACACGUGCUACAAUGGUCGGUACAAAGGGUUGCCAAGCCGCGAGGUGGAGCUAAUCCCAUAAAACCGAUCGUAGUCCGGAUCGCAGUCUGCAACUCGACUGCGUGAAGUCGGAAUCGCUAGUAAUCGUGAAUCAGAAUGUCACGGUGAAUACGUUCCCGGGCCUU